Molecule: ribosomal RNA, 433 nt
Filed under: uncultured bacterium
Lineage: Bacteria
Description: bacterial SSU rRNA
Rfam family: Bacterial small subunit ribosomal RNA
Source: RNAcentral
AUUGAACGCUGGUGGCAUGCUUAACACAUGCAAGUCGCACGGCAGCAUGAUCUAGCUUGCUAGAUUGAUGGCGAGUGGCGGACGGGUGAGUAACGCGUAGGAAUCUGUCUUAAAGUUGGGGAUAACACGGGGAAACUCGUGCUAAUACCGCAUAAAGUUUACGAACCAAAGCUGGGGACCUUCGGGCCUGGCGCUUUGAGAUGAGCCUGCGUUGGAUUAGCUAGUUGGUGAGGUAAGGGCUCACCAAGGCUGCGAUCCAUAGCUGUUCUGAGAGGAAGAUCAGCCACACUGGGACUGAGACACGGCCCAGACUCCUACGGGAGGCAGCAGUGGGGAAUAUUGGACAAUGGGGGCAACCCUGAUCCAGCAAUGCCACGUGUGUGAAGAAGGCCUUUAGGGUUGUAAAGCACUUUCAGGAAGGAGGAAAGGUAUU